This 253-nucleotide ribosomal RNA is filed under the name uncultured bacterium. RNAcentral's name for it is "partial 16S ribosomal RNA". It matches the Rfam family "Bacterial small subunit ribosomal RNA", at positions 524 to 776 of the family's 1533-position model. The record is from RNAcentral.
UACGAAGGGGGCUAGCGUUGCUCGGAAUCACUGGGCGUAAAGGGCGCGUAGGCGGCCGAUUAAGUCGGGGGUGAAAGCCUGUGGCUCAACCACAGAAUUGCCUUCGAUACUGGUUGGCUUGAGACCGGAAGAGGACAGCGGAACUGCGAGUGUAGAGGUGAAAUUCGUAGAUAUUCGCAAGAACACCAGUGGCGAAGGCGGCUGUCUGGUCCGGUUCUGACGCUGAGGCGCGAAAGCGUGGGGAGCAAACAGA